GAUGAACGCUGGCGGCGUGCCUAAUACAUGCAAGUAGAACGCUGAAGGAGGAGCUUGCUCUUCUGGAUGAGUUGCGAACGGGUGAGUAACGCGUAGGUAACCUGCCUGGUAGCGGGGGAUAACUAUUGGAAACGAUAGCUAAUACCGCAUGACAACAGUUAUUGCAUGAUAACUGUUUAAAAGGGGCAACUGCUCCACUACCAGAUGGACCUGCGUUGUAUUAGCUAGUUGGUGAGGUAACGGCUCACCAAGGCGACGAUACAUAGCCGACCUGAGAGGGUGAUCGGCCACAUUGGGACUGAGACACGGCCCAGACUCCUACGGGAGGCAGCAGUAGGGAAUCUUCGGCAAUGGACGGAAGUCUGACCGAGCAACGCCGCGUGAGUGAAGAAGGUUUUCGGAUCGUAAAGCUCUGUUGUAAGAGAAGAACGAGUGUGAGAGUGGAAAGUUCACACUGUGACGGUAUCUUACCAGAAAGGGACGGCUAACUACGUG
RNAcentral lists this ribosomal RNA (495 nucleotides) under uncultured bacterium. RNAcentral describes it as "partial 16S ribosomal RNA". It matches the Rfam family "Bacterial small subunit ribosomal RNA", at positions 28 to 507 of the family's 1533-position model. The record is from RNAcentral.